This is an RNA transcript of Thrips palmi, 1830 nucleotides long. It is a transcript of the gene named vesicle-associated membrane protein 2, with no coding region annotated. The record is from RefSeq and is a predicted model, not a curated record. The transcript has 8 exons. NCBI's taxonomy places the organism in Eukaryota, Metazoa, Arthropoda, Insecta, Thysanoptera, Thripidae.
ACGGGGUGGCGUGGUGGGGAGUGGCGGGGGUGGUGAAAUCGAUUUCUCGAACGUGGAAGGGCGCGGGCCCGAACCCCGAGCGCGCCGAGCCGAGCCGAGCCGAAUCCGACCGAUGUGCGCAGGCCCAGUCUGGAGUCAUCAAUAGCAGUGGCCAGAAUUCACUGCAAGGUCUCUGGUGUGUCGCGGCUAGCCCUACAGCUCAACUCAACUUUGGUCGCCGAAACUAGGAAAAGACUCCACAGAAAUGUCUGCUCCGGACGGCGCUGCGGCAGGUGCGGGCGGCGAUGGCGAGAUCGUCGGGGGUCCCAGGAACCCCCAGCAGAUCGCCGCGCAGAGGAGGUUACAACAAACCCAGGCACAGGUGGACGAGGUGGUGGACAUAAUGAAGACAAACGUCGAGAAGGUGCUGGAGCGAGAUCAGAAGCUGUCAGAGCUGGACGAUCGAGCAGACGCGCUCCAGCAGGGCGCAUCGCAGUUCGAACAACAGGCUGGCAAGCUCAAGAGAAAGUUCUGGCUCCAAAAUCUCAAGAUGAUGAUCAUCAUGGGGGUCAUUGGGCUUGUGAUAUUAGCCAUCAUUGUGGCGAACUUCAUGUAAUCUAGCCCCUGUGUCUGUGAGAGCGACUGAGGCAAAUUUGCUUGAAUGCAGAUUGGCACUUUGGCGUACAAGGAGACGUCUGGGCGGUUGGCUAAUGCAGCUAAUGCAGGGAGACGCCUCGUUGCCUCGUCGCCAGCACUCUCGCCCCGAAUUCACACGUGCUCGAUCCGGGCUGGGCCGAGCAGGACUCUUUAAGGCGGCAGGGCGGGCCGGACGGAGCGCACCAAAACUAGCUUCAUUACUUUCUUGGCGCAGGAUAUUCUCUUUUUCAUAAGGUGUUAACGUUGUUUUCAAUAAGUUCGAAAAAAAAUGGACACAAAAAAAAGACAAAAAAGGACAUAUAUAUUAGGUACUCUGACGGAAAUUUCGGUGUAUGAGAAUAGUUAGAAGCUAAAAUUAUUUUUCUUUUGUUAAAAUUUGAUAUUUCGGAGCUUGAUGCUUGUUUCCUCCUCGCCACGCGUCGCUCCGCCCGGGCCAGAUUUGAAUGGAUUUGUAGGUGAAUCAUAGGUUCUAUUUCUCCGUACUCCUCUACUAGGAUUCUUCCUUUUCUUUCCCAAAUGAUUUGUUGUCCUCCUAUUAUCGUGAUUCUUCAAUAGAAUAACUUUUUUCUCUCCUGCGUAAGGACUCCAAUAAUCGUUGCAAAUAUGAAAAGUGUAUAGCUUGGUUAUCAUAUCGUACUUAUGGCCCCAAAUUGUAAAUUUCCGUAAGAGGACGGUACAGGUAGAUGUAUGAAAAUAUUAGCUAGACAUAUAAAUAUAUAAAUAUGUGUAAUCUGGUUUGAUUGGAAAUAGGAAUGCACUGUUCUUAUUGUGUACAGAAUUCUAUAACUUAAAGGCAAACAUAUUGUAAAACACCAAGCUAAACUAUGUGUACAAUAGAUGAUAAGAGGUUCUCAUUAACGUGUCACUGCUACCAACCGUAGGGAAGGAAUGCUAUUUAUCGCCCCUUUUAUUACUUGUUUUUCAACUAUGAUAAUAAUUUUUUUAAAUGAAAAGAACGCCUGGUGCUGGUGAUAGAUUAAAGAUAGAACAUAAGCGACAUUCGCACACUUUGCCGUACGAUCGAUCGAAAAAAAAAGGUUUAGCGUUUGAAACGUGAUUGCAGACUUAGCGCAUCAUUUUCUGGCUUGUUUUGCUCCCAAGUUGAGUACUGUGUCACUCUGUCGUUUGAAAAACGUCAGAGCAUGUUAUGUAUCAAAUUAUAAAGUGCAUAUAAAUAUAUUAUUGUUUUGUCAA